AAAAAGCCUCUUCCACUCCAAACAUAACAGCGCUACCUCAGCAAGACUGAUUUCUGCAUUUCUUCUGAAGGUUGAUGGUUUUUCUGCAGAUUAAAAUUUCCAGAUUUUUAGUCUUGAGUGUAAUUGUGGCUGAAUUGCACUUAAUUCAGGGGGAAGAAGUCAAAAAGAAAGCCAACUUUCAACUUUAGUCUAAAAACUAGCAAUGAACAUGGCAGGAAGUAACCACCACUCAUUUCACAUCUCUGUAUGUACCUCUGUGUAAUCUGCCAGAGUGUAAAGCACAUAUGACAUUUAAAAGAAAAAAAAAGU
Molecule: long non-coding RNA, 309 nt
Filed under: Anser brachyrhynchus (Pink-footed goose)
Lineage: Eukaryota; Metazoa; Chordata; Aves; Anseriformes; Anatidae
Description: lncRNA (ENSABRG00000019324.1)
Source: RNAcentral